This 36-nucleotide ribosomal RNA is filed under the name Maxillaria cassapensis. RNAcentral describes it as "partial 26S ribosomal RNA". The record is from RNAcentral. RNAcentral also lists the same sequence under 20 other names. Lineage: Eukaryota; Viridiplantae; Streptophyta; Magnoliopsida; Asparagales; Orchidaceae.
GCGACCCCAGGAUGGGCGAGGCCACCCGCCGAGUUU